GCCAGCCUGGCCGACGUGGUCAAGGCACCUGUUUGAAGAACAGGCAAUCCAGGUUCGAUCCCUGGGGCUGGCACCA
This 76-nucleotide transfer RNA is filed under the name Planctomycetota bacterium. RNAcentral's name for it is "tRNA-Phe". It matches the Rfam family "tRNA". Rfam says of the family: Transfer RNA (tRNA) molecules are approximately 80 nucleotides in length. The record is from RNAcentral. Lineage: Bacteria; Pseudomonadati; Planctomycetota.